CGGGUGACGGGGAAUCAGGGUUCGAUUCCGGAGAGGGAGCCUGAGAAAUGGCUACCACUUCUACGGAAGGCAGCAGGCGCGCAAAUUACUCAAUCCCAAUACGGGGAAGUAGUGACAAAAAAUACUAAUGCCUUUCCAUUUAUAUGGGGGGCAAUUGGAAUAAGUACAACUUAAAUCGCUUAGCAAAAGUGAUUGGAGGGCAAGUCUGGUGCCAGCAGCCGCGGUAAUUCCAGCUCCAAUAGCGUAUACUAAAUUUGUUGCAGUUAAAAAGCUCGUAGUUGAGAUUGAGAUUUCUUAGGUUUAGAGUCGCUUGGCCUUCGGGUUUGAGUUUGAUUCGUAAAGCUUUAUAGUAGAAUUCCAUUUUAUUAUUAAAGUUACUAAGAAAUUUCUAUCUGCCCAUGGUAGCUAGCAAUAGUUAUCAAUCGGGUGAUCUACUGUGAGAAAAUUGUAGUGUUCAAAGCAGGCGUCUUACGUUUGUUCAAUGCAGCAUGGUAUAGUAAAAUAUGACACUAAAUAUAUGUUGGUUGUAUAUUCUUAGUGUAAUGACUAAUAGGGAAGGGCGGGGCCGU
This 569-nucleotide ribosomal RNA is filed under the name uncultured Heterostelium. RNAcentral describes it as "bacterial SSU rRNA". It matches the Rfam family "Eukaryotic small subunit ribosomal RNA", at positions 356 to 891 of the family's 1831-position model. Lineage: Eukaryota; Evosea; Eumycetozoa; Acytosteliales; Acytosteliaceae. The record is from RNAcentral.